UUAGAUGAUGGCUAUCUCACUCCAGCCAGAGCCACCAACUCUGGGCUGAAGAGUAAAAAAACCGACGCGAAGUCGGUUUUUUUAC
Non-coding RNA from Shigella dysenteriae Sd197, 85 nucleotides. It matches the Rfam family "ArsR-gov region gene B". From Rfam's summary of the family: arsR-gov region gene B is transcribed opposite of dinQ (translates into a toxic single transmembrane peptide) with 30 complimentary nucleotides. AgrB appears to repress accumulation of dinQ by RNA interference and counteracts its toxicity. NCBI's taxonomy places the organism in Bacteria, Pseudomonadati, Pseudomonadota, Gammaproteobacteria, Enterobacterales, Enterobacteriaceae. The record is from Rfam.